AUGGACGACUCAUAAUGGUAGGAACCGAAUCCUGUUAAGAUCGGCAACUUCUCCAUCAAGGCGGCUGAGGCCCGCGUGUGGCUGCCUGUAGCGUGGCAGUGCUACGACUCCUCCGGCAAGCCGAGUAGGUCAGACUACAGGAACCUAGAGUUCAACAAAGGGGGCGUGUACCGCAUCUCCAACGCCAAGAGCAACCUCUUUGUCCUGGGCUGCAAAACCACGGGCUACCUCGCGAGCCAGCCGGACCAGGGCUCCGGCGAAAGCACGUCUUACGCCCAGUUCACCGGCUGCCUCUGCUACUGCAACAACUCCCAGAGCGCGGUGAACGGUGCCUGCUCCGGGGUAGGCUGCUGCCACGUAGGCAUUCCACCGGACCUCACCGACAACUGGGUGGCCUUCAUGAGCUACGACAACACCGACAAGGUCAACUUCAGCCCCUGUGAUUAUGCGUUUGUGGCGGAGAAAAAACAUUACACCUUCAACACCACCGACCUCAAGAGGGCACUGCGCCAGAACACCUGGGGCUGGGAGAUGCCGGUGGUCCUCGACUGGGCCAUCCGCGACAGCCCCACCUGCAAGGAGGCAAGGAAGAAGGAGGGGUACGCCUGCAUAAGCUCCAACAGUCUCUGCCUCAACUCUACCAAUGGACCUGGAUACAUCUGCAACUGCCGCCGAGGCUACGAGGGCAACCUCUAUAUUGUUGAUGGUUGUACCGAUAUAAAUGAGUGUGAGCAUCUUGACCACUACUCUUGCAAGGGAGUGUGCACGAACAGACAAGGUUCUUACGAAUGUACAUGCCCCAAACAUACACACAGUGCUGAUCCGUACAAAGAAGUAUGCAGCCCGAAUUUUCCAACCAACGCAAAGAUCAUUGUAGGUGCAAUAGGGGGCAUGUUAGUUAUGGUAAUUAUGGUCUUCUUCUGGCUUCUUAUUGAAGAGAAAAGAAAGAUGAAAGAACAUUUUGAAAAGAAUGGCGGACCUACAUUGGAAAAGCUCAAUAAUAUAAAGCUAUUCAAAAAGGAAGACAUCAGGAAAAUUCAGAAAAGUAGCAACAUUAUUGGAAGCGGUGGUUUUGGUAAGGUUUAUAAGGGGUGCAUUGGCGAUAAUAAUGAGUUAGUUGCAGUGAAGGAGCCCAUCAAUGUUAACUCAGCAAACAAGGGUCAAUUUGCAAAUGAGAUCAUCAUUCAGUCUCGAGUCAUUCACAGGAACAUUUUGAAGCUCGUAGGUUGUUGCUUACAAGUUGAAGUCCCAAUCUUGGUCUAUGAGUUUGUACCUAAUGGUUGCCUUCAUGACAUUCUCCAUAAUGGUAGCAGGAUGCAUCUCGAUAUGUGUAAACGUCUAAAAAUUUCUGCUGAAUCGGCGGAAGGUCUAGCUUAUAUGCAUUCAAAAACCACUACCACAAUCCUCCAUGGUGAUGUUAAACCAGCUAAUAUACUUCUGAAUGACGAGUUCACACCAAAGAUCUCAGACUUUGGUAUAUCAAGGUUAAUUGUUACAGAUAUGCAACACACUGGAAAUGUUAUUGGUGACAUGAGUUAUAUGGAUCCAGUUCUUCUACAAACAGGAUUACUAACCAAGAAGAGUGAUGUCUAUAGUUUUGGGGUUGUGCUCUUGGAGCUCAUUACAAGGAAGAAGGCAUCACAUUCUGACAAGAACAGCUUAUUGAGGAACUUUCUUGAUGCUUACACGAAGGACAAGUCUGUGAUUGAGCUCGUGGACAAGGAACUUGCAGAGGUAGAUCGAGAGAUUCUUGAUAAUUUAGGAGAGAUGAUUAUGCAAUGUCUAAAUCUUGAUGUCAAUCAGAGACCGGAGAUGACAGAUGUUGCAGAGCGUCUUCGUGACAUGGUUAAGAGGUUUAAUGCCCAAUGGAAUGAUCAACUGGAUGAUCAUGUGGUUUCGCAGUAA
RNAcentral lists this ribosomal RNA (1905 nucleotides) under Triticum aestivum (bread wheat). Its description in RNAcentral is "partial small subunit ribosomal RNA". The record is from RNAcentral. Lineage: Eukaryota; Viridiplantae; Streptophyta; Magnoliopsida; Poales; Poaceae.